AAACAACUCCUGAAGGACCAGAGUUUGGGAAACACUGCACUUUAGGCCCACCUGAACUGCUCUCACUCAAUGCUAUGGAAUCCUGGGAGUUGUAGCAUUACAAAGACUUCUCUGCCCAAUUAUGAUUGGUCCCUCCCCAACUAAAAUUCCUAUAGCAUCGAGCCAUUGCAAUGUUUGAAAGCAGGAAAGACAAGGCCAAGCAUUAAACUACUUAAGAAUUGCUUUGAAUUAUACCCGAUGGAUGAAGCCCCAGGCCUUAGUAUCAUCUGUUUGACCCAUCUUUUAAUGACUGCAGCAUUCCAUUGCAAUGUAUCAUGUGGACAAAAUGACUUCAACACCAAGAAAGCUUUUUUCUGCUAUCUUUGAAAGGGUGAUCAUGAGAAGCAAUGAACACAUCAAAAAAGAAAGCGGUGAUGUGACAAAGACAUUUGCCUUCUGUACCAUGUGUGUUGGUGCGCAUGUGCAUGGCGGGAUGGAGAGAAAUACAGGACACUUUGCUGCUCUGAAGGCCAGCAAGUUAGUGCCACGUUUAAAACCCACCUGAAGGGACUGAAUUUGGAUUUGACUUCAGAAAGAUCAAAUAUUUCCACAAAACCACAGCAGAAAGAGUAAUUAUCAGCUAUCUAAAGCCAGAGCAAAUGCAGCAAAAAUACAUGGAUGAAAAGAGAUGCUUGGGAAAAAAAUAGCUCAAGAGUAUAUUUCUCUUGACUUAGGAAUCUAGCUGAUUCCUCACAUUUUGCAAGGACAAUUCAUAAUCUUCACUUAGCCUGUACAGAUUAGCCAAAAGGCAGGGCUUACUCAUCCACGGCUCAGUCAUGGAGUGCAUGCUUUUGUAGGUAGAAAGUCCUGGGUACAAUCCAUGGAAUCUCCUGUUAUAAUGGCAGCAGAGCUGGGGAAAUCAACUCUACUUUUGGACAGUGUUUAAUGCCAGCCAAGGCAGACAUUACUGGGCAGAGCUUAGAAAAGUUACCUUUUUUGGAUUAUAACCCCCAGAAUUCUCUAGGUCAGCGUUUCUCUAACUGUGCCCCUCCAGAUGUUUUGGACUUCAGCUCCCAGAAUCCCAGCCAGCUUACCAGCUGUUAGGAACUGUGGGAGCUGCAGUCCAAAACAUCUGAAGAAGCACAGUUUGAGAAACUUUGUUCUAGGUGGAAUGGCCAUUGAUCAGUCUUGGUUGGUUCUGGUCUCAAAAUGUAACUUUUCCAAGCUCUAGUACUGGUCUAGCCAGGCCAUUGGCUUCAUCCUGUUGCAUAUGGCUGACAAUUAGGUCCUUCUCUCAAAGGGUCUCUACAUGGUAUAAUUUGCACAAAUAUUGCCGCAAAACUCAUAUCUGCAUCUCCACCAGCUCUUGGUUAUUGCUUCUCAGGCACCUUACUCGGAGCAAUAGCAUACUGACCAUUUCCUCCCUACAACGGUGUU
This 1416-nucleotide long non-coding RNA is filed under the name Anolis carolinensis (green anole). RNAcentral describes it as "lncRNA (ENSACAG00000037860.1)". The record is from RNAcentral. Lineage: Eukaryota; Metazoa; Chordata; Lepidosauria; Squamata; Anolidae.